GACGAACGCUGGCGGCGUGCCUAACACAUGCAAGUCGAGCGAAGUAUUUAAAGAAGAUUUCUUCGGAAUGAAACUUUAAAUAUCUUAGCGGCGGACGGGUGAGUAACGCGUGAGAAACCUGCCUUUCACAACGGGAUAGCCUCGGGAAACUGGGAUUAAUACCGUAUGAAGUUUCUUUUUAGCAUUGAGAAGAAACCAAAGCGCAAAGCGGUGAAAGAUGGUCUCGCGUCCCAUUAGCUAGUUGGUGAGAUAAAAGCUCACCAAGGCGACGAUGGGUAGCCGGCCUGAGAGGGUGAACGGCCACACUGGAACUGAGACACGGUCCAG
RNAcentral lists this ribosomal RNA (327 nucleotides) under uncultured bacterium. RNAcentral describes it as "bacterial SSU rRNA". It matches the Rfam family "Bacterial small subunit ribosomal RNA", at positions 28 to 334 of the family's 1533-position model. The record is from RNAcentral.